This 77-nucleotide transfer RNA is filed under the name Rhodospirillaceae bacterium. RNAcentral describes it as "tRNA-Pro". It matches the Rfam family "tRNA". Rfam says of the family: Transfer RNA (tRNA) molecules are approximately 80 nucleotides in length. RNAcentral also lists the same sequence under 2 other names. The record is from RNAcentral. Lineage: Bacteria; Pseudomonadati; Pseudomonadota; Alphaproteobacteria; Rhodospirillales; Rhodospirillaceae.
CGGGGCGUAGCGCAGUCUGGUAGCGCAUCUGCUUUGGGAGCAGAGGGUCGGCGGUUCGAAUCCGUCCGCCCCGACCA